UACAUGGGGUGCAAACGUUGCUCGGAAUUAUUGGGCGUAAAGAGCGCGCAGGCGGUCGUUCAAGUCGAGUGUGAAAGCCCCCGGCUCAACUGGGGAGGGUCAUUCGAUACUGAUCGACUCGAAGGCAGGAGAGGGAAGUGGAAUUCCCGGUGUAGUGGUGAAAUGCGUAGAUAUCGGGAGGAACACCAGUGGCGAAGGCGACUUCCUGGCCUGUUCUUGACGCUGAGGCGCGAAAGCUAGGGGAGCAAACGGG
RNAcentral lists this ribosomal RNA (253 nucleotides) under uncultured bacterium. Its description in RNAcentral is "partial 16S ribosomal RNA". It matches the Rfam family "Bacterial small subunit ribosomal RNA", at positions 524 to 776 of the family's 1533-position model. The record is from RNAcentral.